UCUGCCACCCUCACCCAUCGAAAUCCCUCAGCCGCUCACUCCACUCAACCCCUCAGCCGCUCUCUGCCUCAUAGCCUCGGCAUCUCCCCUCCCCGGCUAAUCCCUGUGCGUCUCCGACUUUAUGCCUCAGGCAAGUUUGGUUGAAGGAACUGAUAGACAGCGGUCGAAGAGAUGUGGGUCCGGGCCACCAUCCGCGCCGGUGACUUCUUUUUCUGGCGGUGUUAAGACGGUCAAAUUCUUGGCGGUGGAAGCGUCGGGCAUCCGGGCGGCCUUCUACCAAGCGAGGUUUUCAAAGAUUAAAUAAGCUGUAGCUACCAUUUCUUGAAGUAAGCACAAAUUAGUAGUAGAUUUAAAGCUGUAAAUUCAGGUAUGCUCAGAACUGUACUCAUAUUUGCAUCUAUAUGAUUCUUCAUCCUGAAGCCAAUGGUUACUCAUAUCCAUUGUGUUGGAAAUUAAACAGUUGCAUCUAUUUCAAUA
Molecule: long non-coding RNA, 477 nt
Organism: Ipomoea triloba (trilobed morning glory)
Lineage: Eukaryota; Viridiplantae; Streptophyta; Magnoliopsida; Solanales; Convolvulaceae
Exons: 2
Source: RefSeq, a predicted model, not a curated record